GACUCUUAGUGGUGGAUUACUUGGCUCGUGUGUCGAUGAAGAAUGCAGCUAGCUGUGGGAAUUAAUGUGCAAUGCAGGAUACAUUGACACACUGAUCAUCUAUACAUUGAAUGCACUUGUGGCCCUGGGUUCCUUCCGGGGCUAUGCGUGUCUGAGCGUUG
Gorilla gorilla gorilla (western lowland gorilla) is the source of this 161-nucleotide ribosomal RNA. It matches the Rfam family "5.8S ribosomal RNA". From Rfam's summary of the family: 5.8S ribosomal RNA (5.8S rRNA) is a component of the large subunit of the eukaryotic ribosome. NCBI's taxonomy places the organism in Eukaryota, Metazoa, Chordata, Mammalia, Primates, Hominidae. The record is from Ensembl.